GUGAAUUUAAUUUAGAUAAUAAAAUAUUUGAUUUGCAAUUAGAACACUUGGGUUUAACUCCUAAAAUUCGCA
This 72-nucleotide transfer RNA is filed under the name Hacelia attenuata. RNAcentral's name for it is "tRNA-Ala". It matches the Rfam family "tRNA". From Rfam's summary of the family: Transfer RNA (tRNA) molecules are approximately 80 nucleotides in length. Their secondary structure includes four short double-helical elements and three loops (D, anti-codon, and T loops). Lineage: Eukaryota; Metazoa; Echinodermata; Asteroidea; Valvatida; Ophidiasteridae. The record is from RNAcentral.